Molecule: long non-coding RNA, 840 nt
Organism: Dreissena polymorpha
Lineage: Eukaryota; Metazoa; Mollusca; Bivalvia; Myida; Dreissenidae
Exons: 3
Source: RefSeq, a predicted model, not a curated record
GUGAACAAAUAAGACAUGUUAUCGUAACACGAAAACAUGUUUUAUACAUAAUAGAAGUAAAGUGUAUUAUAUAAGAUGGAAAUGUAGUGGAAGAAUGUUUUGUUCGUGUAUUUUUUUCGUUUGGUUUACUUCUCUGUGUUCACAGCUCGAAUAUAUACGAAGCCAGCGAUGCAUGUUUGACCUUUUCAUAGAAGGACUAAUGUUGGGAUUCCAAUACUAAUAUCACAUUUGGAGAUGGACUUGUAAUAAUAACACGAAUUGUUUUUGGAAAAACAAACACUAACACACGUAAACAAUGCGACAAUUGCUUGGACACGCGGGAAGAUGCCAUAAUGGAUGUAUCUGGUGAACAAUUCGAUAGUGUCAUCAACUACAUACUUCAGACUUGUUUAUUUCGACAUUCAUGUUCAUUACCACUGUUUAAAGGACCUGACAAUGAAAUAAGCAUUAGCUACAGAUGUAUCCCAGAGGACCGUAGAUAAGACCCAUGUGAAACCAAUUCAUCUUUCCUGAGCAUCAGCGAUACACAUACUUUCUUUAUGCUGCGAUCUAAUUAAUCCGGAACAUGCAGCUGUGUGAUAAACGGGUCGACCAAAAUGACAAUUCAAGACUUCUUCACAUUGUUUGACAAAAUUAGUAUACAUAAAUCCAAGCGUGUAUCGAGUUUGGAUGGCAAUGUCAUUUAUAUUGUUCAUACGAACGUCUCCAUUGUCAGCAUCAUCUUCGACGGGAUAUUCCGGCGUCUGUGGUUAAGUGUAAACAUAAAAGGUAACAUUUUGUUUUCAACGUAUCAACUUAGUUAAUAAACAUGUGCAUCUAACAAAUGUACGAUCAACAUUA